CUAAGUUCGGGAUCGAUAACCGCUGAAAGCAUCUAAGCGGGAAGCGAGCCUUGAGAUGAGUUCUCCCUGAUACUUUAAGUAUCCUAAAGGGUUGUCGUAGACUACGACGUUGAUAGGCAGGGUGUGUAAGCGUUGUGAGGCGUUGAGCUAACCUGUACUAAUUGCCCGUGAGGCUUAACCAUACAACACCCAAGGGGUUU
This 200-nucleotide ribosomal RNA is filed under the name Vibrio alginolyticus. Its description in RNAcentral is "partial 23S ribosomal RNA". It matches the Rfam family "Bacterial large subunit ribosomal RNA", at positions 2749 to 2925 of the family's 2925-position model. The record is from RNAcentral. Lineage: Bacteria; Pseudomonadati; Pseudomonadota; Gammaproteobacteria; Vibrionales; Vibrionaceae.